GUUGAACGCUGGCGGCAGGCCUAACACAUGCAAGUCGAGCGGAUGAAGGGAGCUUGCUCCUGGAUUCAGCGGCGGACGGGUGAGUAAUGCCUAGGAAUCUGCCUGGUAGUGGGGGAUAACGUCCGGAAACGGGCGCUAAUACCGCAUACGUCCUGAGGGAGAAAGUGGGGGAUCUUCGGACCUCACGCUAUCAGAUGAGCCUAGGUCGGAUUAGCUAGUUGGUGGGGUAAAGGCCUACCAAGGCGACGAUCCGUAACUGGUCUGAGAGGAUGAUCAGUCACACUGGGACUGAGACACGGUCCAGACUCCUACGGGAGGCAGCAGUGGGGAAUAUUGGACAAUGGGCGAAAGCCUGAUCCAGCCAUGCCGCGUGUGUGAAGAAGGUCUUCGGAUUGUAAAGCACUUUAAGUUGGGAGGAAGGGCAGUAAGUUAAUACCUUGCUGUUUUGACGUUACCAACAGAAUAAGCACCGGCUAACUUCGUG
RNAcentral lists this ribosomal RNA (484 nucleotides) under uncultured bacterium. RNAcentral describes it as "partial 16S ribosomal RNA". It matches the Rfam family "Bacterial small subunit ribosomal RNA", at positions 28 to 507 of the family's 1533-position model. The record is from RNAcentral.